This 337-nucleotide long non-coding RNA is filed under the name Homo sapiens (human). RNAcentral's name for it is "HSALNT0298845". Lineage: Eukaryota; Metazoa; Chordata; Mammalia; Primates; Hominidae. The record is from RNAcentral.
CCGGGCUCUAGCAGCGGGUCCCCAGUUUUGCUUGUGAGCUGCAUUCCACUGGCCACUCUGCCUUUCAUAGAGGUGAGGUAUUAAUAGUAGUUGAGGAAGACUUUAUGAGGGAGAUUGGAUUGGUGCUGAGCUUUGAAAGAUGAAUGAAAUCAUUUGGGGGAUUCAUCCACAAAAAACACAGAGACUGGCCAACACUGAUUUGCAGGAUGCAUCAGCCCCAUUUCCUAGACACACUGAACAAACUGAGAACAGAAAACUGAGAUCAAAUCCCACUACUUCCCAUCAACCAGAGCUGAAGUGGGAGGAUUGCUUGAAGCCAGGAGUUUGAGACCAGCCU